UUUUGGGUCCGAGUUGUAAUUUGUAGAGGAUGCUUCGGGCAAGGCCGUGGUCUAAUUCGCUAGGAACAGCGGGUCAUAGAGGGUGAGAACCCCGUCUAGGACCGCACGCCGCGUCCAUGUGAAGCUCCUUCGACGAGUCGAGUUGUUUGGGAAUGCAGCUCUAAAUGGGUGGUAAAUUUCAUCUAAAGCUAAAUAUUGGCCAGAGACCGAUAGCGCACAAGUAGAGUGAUCGAAAGAUGAAAAGCACUUUGAAAAGAGAGUUAAACAGUACGUGAAAUUGUUGAAAGGGAAGCGCUUGCAAUCAGACUUGUGGCCGACGGUUCCCCCGGCCCUCGUGGCCGGGCUACUCCGUCGUGUCCAGGCCAACAUCGGUCUGGGUGGCCGGUUAAAGACCUCGGGAAUGUAUCUACCUCCGGGUCGACUUAUAGCCCGGGGUGGAAUGCGGCCCACCCGGACCGAGGAACGCGCUCCGGCUCGGAUGUUGGCGUAAUGGUUGCAAGCGGCCCGUCUUGAAACACGGACCAAGGAGUCUAACAUCUAUGCGAGUGUUUGGGUGUCAAACCCCUACGCGGAAUGAAAGUGAACGGAGGUAAGAACCCGCAAGGGCGCAUUAUCGACCGAUCCUGAUGUCUUCGGAUGGAUUUGAGUAAGAGCAUAGCUGUUGGGACCCGAAAGAUGGUGAACUAUGCCUGAAUAGGGUGAAGCCAGAGGAAACUCUGGUGGA
Molecule: ribosomal RNA, 724 nt
Filed under: Verrucaria alpicola
Lineage: Eukaryota; Fungi; Ascomycota; Eurotiomycetes; Verrucariales; Verrucariaceae
Description: eukaryotic LSU rRNA
Rfam family: Eukaryotic large subunit ribosomal RNA
Source: RNAcentral